UACGAAGGGGGCUAGCGUUGUUCGGAUUUACUGGGCGUAAAGCGCACGUAGGCGGAUUGUUAAGUUAGAGGUGAAAUCCCGGAGCUCAACUCCGGAACUGCCUUUAAUACUGGCGAUCUUGAGUCCGGGAGAGGUGAGUGGAACUGCGAGUGUAGAGGUGAAAUUCGUAGAUAUUCGCAAGAACACCAGUGGCGAAGGCGGCUCACUGGCCCGGUACUGACGCUGAGGUGCGAAAGCGUGGGGAGCAAACAGG
RNAcentral lists this ribosomal RNA (253 nucleotides) under uncultured bacterium. Its description in RNAcentral is "partial 16S ribosomal RNA". It matches the Rfam family "Bacterial small subunit ribosomal RNA", at positions 524 to 776 of the family's 1533-position model. The record is from RNAcentral.